UUCAAACCAAUAUUCUUCUAGACUACGUU
RNAcentral lists this small RNA (29 nucleotides) under Bombyx mori (domestic silkworm). Its description in RNAcentral is "ovarian small RNA-9479". The record is from RNAcentral. Lineage: Eukaryota; Metazoa; Arthropoda; Insecta; Lepidoptera; Bombycidae.